This 496-nucleotide ribosomal RNA is filed under the name uncultured bacterium. RNAcentral's name for it is "partial 16S ribosomal RNA". It matches the Rfam family "Bacterial small subunit ribosomal RNA", at positions 28 to 506 of the family's 1533-position model. The record is from RNAcentral.
GAUGAACGCUGGCGGCGUGCCUAAUACAUGCAAGUCGAGCGAACGGACGAGAAGCUUGCUUCUCUGAUGUUAGCGGCGGACGGGUGAGUAACACGUGGAUAACCUACCUAUAAGACUGGGAUAACUUCGGGAAACCGGAGCUAAUACCGGAUAAUAUUUUGAACCGCAUGGUUCAAAAGUAAAAGACGGUCUUGCUGUCACUUAUAGAUGGAUCCGCGCUGUAUUAGCUAGUUGGUAAGGUAACGGCUUACCAAGGCAACGAUGCAUAGCCGACCUGAGAGGGUGAUCGGCCACACUGGAACUGAGACACGGUCCAGACUCCUACGGGAGGCAGCAGUAGGGAAUCUUCCGCAAUGGGCGAAAGCCUGACGGAGCAACGCCGCGUGAGUGAUGAAGGUCUUCGGAUCGUAAAACUCUGUUAUUAGGGAAGAACAUAUGUGUAAGUAACUGUGCACAUCUUGACGGUACCUAAUCAGAAAGCCACGGCUAACUACGU